RNAcentral lists this ribosomal RNA (444 nucleotides) under uncultured bacterium. RNAcentral's name for it is "bacterial SSU rRNA". It matches the Rfam family "Bacterial small subunit ribosomal RNA", at positions 355 to 795 of the family's 1533-position model. The record is from RNAcentral.
UGAGGAAUCUUGCGCAAUGGGCGAAAGCCUGACGCAGCCACGCCGCGUGCCGGAAGACGGCCCUAUGGGUUGUAAACGGCUUUUAAAUGGGAAGAACGAGAGGGUUUCGAUCUUCUGUGACGGUACCAUUUGAAUAAGCACCGGCUAACUCCGUGCCAGCAGCCGCGGUAAUACGGAGGGUGCAAGCGUUGUCCGGAAUCAUUGGGUGUAAAGGGUGCGUAGGCGGGAGCCUAAGUCUGUGGUGAAAUCUUGCCGCUUAACGGUAAAAUUGCCAUGGAUACUGGGUUUCUUGAGUACAGAAGAGGUCGGUGGAAUUCGUAGUGUAGCGGUGAAAUGCAUAGAUAUUACGAAGAACAUCAGUGGCGAAGGCGGCCGGCUGGACUGUAACUGACGCUGAGGCACGAAAGCGUGGGGAGCGAACAGGAUUAGAUACCCCGCGUAGUC